This 433-nucleotide ribosomal RNA is filed under the name uncultured bacterium. RNAcentral's name for it is "partial 16S ribosomal RNA". It matches the Rfam family "Bacterial small subunit ribosomal RNA", at positions 29 to 507 of the family's 1533-position model. The record is from RNAcentral.
AACGAACGCUGGCGGCAUGCCUAACACAUGCAAGUCGAACGAAGGCUUCGGCCUUAGUGGCGCACGGGUGCGUAACGCGUGGGAAUCUGCCCUUUGGUUCGGAAUAACAGCUGGAAACGGCUGCUAAUACCGGAUGAUGACGAAAGUCCAAAGAUUUAUCGCCAGAGGAUGAGCCCGCGUUGGAUUAGGUAGUUGGUGGGGUAAAGGCCUACCAAGCCGACGAUCCAUAGCUGGUCUGAGAGGAUGAUCAGCCACACUGGGACUGAGACACGGCCCAGACUCCUACAGGAGGCAGCAGUGGGGAAUAUUGGACAAUGGGCGCAAGCCUGACCCAGCAAUGCCGCGUGAGUGAUGAAGGCCCUAGGGUUGUAAAGCUCUUUUACCCGGGAAGAUAAUGACUGUACCGGGAGAAUAAGCCCCGGCUAACUCCGUG